This 3842-nucleotide long non-coding RNA is filed under the name Sus scrofa (pig). Its description in RNAcentral is "lncRNA (ENSSSCG00050030743.1)". The record is from RNAcentral. Lineage: Eukaryota; Metazoa; Chordata; Mammalia; Artiodactyla; Suidae.
UUCGGAGGACCUGGUGACUGCGCUGCUGUCACAGCUAGUGGCGGACAGCUACUUCUUCCCCGUUGCUUCCUCAGCCCCUUGCAAGAGGGCAGCCUCUUCCAAAAGCCAGGCAGCCAGGGAAGAGGCUGCUCUGUGCUGAAGGUAAGACUGCUGCCUAGUCACUCUCCUAACGUGCCAGCGACCUCACCAUCUGCUUUCAGAUCAGAACGUCUCCACCUGUAGAGCUUAUCAAAGAGGCCCUGAAGAGCGAGUGCCUCUGCUGGUUUCCCUGGUAACCAGUGAACGACCUGACGUCAAUUGGUAACUGCUAACCUUCCCCACCCCCUGGAAGCCAUGUCCUGCCCACCAUCUGCUGUACACAGUGGGGUGUCGCUCCAGGACCUUGCUUCAGACUGGUUGACUGGGCUCAGCUGGGAAGUUCUGUUUCUGUGGUGUUGGCUGGAGCUGUAGUCACCUGGGAGACCCACUCACAGCGCUGACCAUUGGUGCUGGAUGUCACGUGGGGCAGUUCACUAAAGCACCCCCUCCUCUUCUCUCCUCUCCUCCGCGUGACCUUCCCACAAGGUUCCAGCUUUAUACAUCAUAGAAGCCCAUCAUGCAAGAGGAAUUUAAAAGGUAACCUGCAGAUUUCUUAAAAGCCCAUUUAUAAUUCACCUUGAGAUAUUCCAUGCAGUCACUUUUGUCGCAUUCCGUCAAUCACAGCCAAUCACAAGCCAGAGUGGCUUAAAAAGUGGGAGGGACAACAAAUUUGGUCCAUCUGUAGUCCACCACAGUCUGCCCUCCGGUCUUAAAAUAUUUACAUUUCUGUAGAAAGGUAAAAAUGUACUAACUCCCUCUUUCAAGCCCACCAAAAGUCUUGUCACAGCAUCAAGUUCAGGCUUAGAAUACAGUAUCAACACCUAAACCUUGUCCAGGUGUGGACAAGGCUUCUUGAGGUUGCCUUCAUGGGUAGUUUUUUUUUGGUUUGUUUAUUGUUGUUGUUGUUUUUGUUGCUUUCAAAUGCAGAGAUUGUGGUCUAGAAAGACAGGUUAUCUGCUCCAGUAAACAAAAACCAACUGGGAGAUAGUGAUAGGAUAGCCCCAGUAGACAUGCUCAACCAAAAAAGGACAGAAUUAACACAUGCCUGGAAUCCUGCUAUUCCCAGGGUAGGAAGUAUGUGUAUUAGGCAUGCAGUUUGCCCGUUUGUGUAGUUCUUUGGGUUUCCUCUGAAACCCAAAAGAACGCCUCUGAGUCAUGCGUUCUUCUCUAUAAGAAAUAGUCCGUAUUUGUAGCCGAGAAGUUUUGUUAGCCUAUUCUUUGCCCAUAGACCUCUAGUCAUCUUUUCCUUUUGAAUUGUUUUUCCCCGCUUUAAAUUCGAGCCAGUUUGUUUCCACUAGUGCACUCUUCUAACAACUUUGUAUAUAUUCUGUGGAUGAAUCACAAAUUAAUAAGGAAUGACUCAUUCUUGCUUAUAUUUCCAGAGAAGGAGGGAGAAAUCUAACUUGAUUCUCAUGACAUGAGUCCUUGUAUCAAGCAAUUAACACACAUUUUGUGGAAUUCUGACAAUAGUCAUGCAAGUUGCAUAUCCAUGUGUUUAUGGAUGAGAAAAUCAAAAUGAGGAAAAGCUAGUUGAUCAUUUUCCUAUCACUUAUAAAUAGCAGAUGCAAGAUUAAAAACCAAAUAUGUCUAGAAUCAAACUCUAAAUAUUUUCUGUUACAUUGUCUUUAACUCUAGACUUUUUUUUUUUUUUUGCUUAUUGUUUAUUUUGAAAAUAAAGUUGAGGCAGCAGAGGAGCUGUAGAAUGGUUAUUUUUAAGAUAUGUCAUUUAGGCAAUUGUUAUCUAGUAAGCCAUUUCCAAAAAUUUAAAUUUAAAAUGACUGAAUUAGUUUAAAUUUGAUAAACACAGAAACAUUCAAGAGUAUAGUUACUGGCAUAAAUGAUGGACAUCCCUGCUACCAGGUCAUAAUCAGUGCCAAAUUGAUAGCAAAGUCCUGAUUAAAUAUGUAAGUUUAGUUAGAAAAAUUAGCAAACCACAUCAAACAUAAUUUUUAAUAAAAUACUGUCAUGGGAGUAAAUAAUUCUAUGGAUAUAUAAUUUAUUAAGAAGACAGCUCAAACCAUUUUAAUUCAUUUAUUUAGUACAGUAAUCCUUAGAGCCUUUAAUAUGCCAGUAGUUUUUUAUUUUCUCUAAGGGUAUAACAUAUAGUACUUAGAAAUAUAUUUGAUUUUGGAAAUUUUUAUGAGAAGUUUUGUAAGAGUCGUAAGAACUUGUUAUAUAGUCUUAGAAAUUAUGCCUUAGAAAAAUCUAGAGUAUUGUGUAAACUGAAAGAAUAUUUUAAGAAUGUAGCAAAUUACUAUAUUUUCUUACUUAAGCCCAUGAUAUUCAUGAAAAUGUAAAAUGGUUCAUUUUAUUGUGUGUGCCCUAGCUAUGAGACUUUAAGAUAUAUGAUUAUAUGCUUUGUUUUAGUCAUAUUUAAACUUAAAAAUUAUAUUGUUUUGGAGAAUAAUAUAAGUUAUAAAUUUCAACAUUCGCAACAAGGGCUACUAUUCAGUUUUUACUUUGCAGCAUUGUCAUAUGGGUUGUUUAUGGUCAGAAUCUAAUAUGAUUUUCCAUGCACCUAUAGAUGGGUUAAUGCUCCCAUCUGGAUAGUGCUGUACUAGUUGAUAUAUAUUUAAACAUUACUCUAAUUAAAAUAAGAUAUUAAAAUAUUACUAUUAAAUUACAGAUUAAAAUAUUACUCUAAUUAAAAUGUUACAAUUAUUAUUAACCAAUAGGUGUUUCAUUGCCUCUAUCCUGCCCAUUAAGGCUUUUCUCAGUCUCUUAGUAAUUGUUUUGAAGUUUUUCCUUGUAUAUCCUUCUAAUGAUUCCUUAAGUAGAUGCCAGUAAAUGAGUGCAUAUUAAUAUUGUCUACCUUUUACUUAUGAUAUAUUACUCAUUAUAUAUCCCAUACUGUAAUUUACUUUUUUUCCUUGGCAUUUAUCCUUGAGUUUUGGGUUUCCCCUCUGCCCUUAUCAAUACAUAAAGAGCUUUUCCAUUUUGUAAGAUAAGCCCAGUGUUGCAUGGUACGCAUACCCCUUGGGUUAACUAAUCUUCUAUUGAUGAAUAUUUGUUUUGUGCCUGUUAUUUUCUUAUUUGAAAAGAAUGCUGUGAUAUACAGUAUGUACAUAUGUCAAAUAACGUGAGGGUAUUUUUUAAGAUAGGAGGCGAGAUUGCUAGGUCGAAUAUUAAAGGCAUUUGUAAUUUUGACAGAUAUUUACAGAUUGCCUUUUAGAAGGUUCAUUAUUUUGAACUCACAUCAACAAUAUAUGAAGAUCUGACUUUUCCCAAUUUGUGUUCUUUGUUGAACUUAGAUUUUUGCGAACAUUAUAGAUGAAAAAUGUUUUCUCAGUUUGACUUUUCUCAGCAUUUCUCCUAAAAUAAGCGGGGUGGGAAUUUUUUUUUUAGCAUGUUUAAGGACUCUUGUUUUCCCUCUCGUUCUCAAGGCAUGUUAUCCAUAUUAGGUGUUCCUGAAGAAAUUACUUACAUUCCACUCAAACAAGAUAGAGGGUAAAUCUUUAGGAAAAGACAACGCUGUUAAAAGAUUUGAUAGGAAGUUCCCAUUGUUGUGCAGUGAAAACAAACCCAACUAGUAUCCAUGAGGAUGUGGGUUUGAAUCCCUCGUCUAGUUCAUUGAGCCAGGGAUCUGGCAAAGCCUUGAGCUGUGAUGUAGGUCACAGACAUGGCUUGGAUCCUGCAUUGCUGUGGCUGUGGCUGUGGUCUAGGCCAGCAGCUGCAGCUCCCAUUCAACCCCUAGCCUGGGAAUUUCCAUAUGUUGCAGGUGUGGCCCUAAAAAGCAAAAAAAAAAAAAAAAAAAAANAAAAAAA